Molecule: ribosomal RNA, 434 nt
Filed under: uncultured Lachnospiraceae bacterium
Lineage: Bacteria; Bacillati; Bacillota; Clostridia; Lachnospirales; Lachnospiraceae
Description: partial 16S ribosomal RNA
Rfam family: Bacterial small subunit ribosomal RNA
Source: RNAcentral
ACGGAAGGCAGCAGUGGGGAAUAUUGCACAAUGGGGGAAACCCUGAUGCAGCGACGCCGCGUGAGUGAAGAAGUUAUUCGUAAUGUAAAGCUCUAUCAGCAGGGGAGAAAAUGACGGUACCUGACUAAGAAGCCCCGGCUAACUACGUGCCAGCAGCCGCGGUAAUACGUAGGGGGCAAGCGUUAUCCGGAUUUACUGGGUGUAAAGGGAGCGUAGACGGUCUAGCAAGUCUGAUGUGAAAGGCAGGGGCUCAACUCCUGGACUGCAUUGGAAACUGUUAGUCUUGAGUGUCGGAGAGGUAAGCGGAAUUCCUAGUGUAGCGGUGAAAUGCGUAGAUAUUAGGAGGAACACCAGUGGCGAAGGCGGCUUACUGGACGAUAACUGACGUUGAGGCUCGAAAGCGUGGGGAGCAAACAGGAUUAGAUACCCUGGUA